GUUGUGCCAGUGCUGAUCUGUCUUGAUGUGAAUGUGAACAAUGGGAACCUGAGCUGAGCAGUUAAUGCUAGGGUGACAGAAACUGGACCUCUCCCAAGACAUGUGACAGAGUAAUACAGCAGCCAACUUCUUCGCCAAAUUAAAGUUUUACAAGAUUUAACCUGUCAUCAAGACCUGGGAUUUUGGUGAAGGACAGAAUAACGGGCUCCCAGAUUCACAAGCCCCACCAAGAGGAUCACCCCAGGAACGCUUGGAGGCUGAGGAGUUCACUGAGGCUACUGCAUCUUGAGACUCAGGAUGAAGACCCAGCUUGGGGCUGUCAAAGGUUUUUUGCAUGUCUGACACCCAUGACUCCACCUGAACCUGAUGGCUCCACCCAGAAGCAAUUCAGCCCAACAGGAGGACAGCUUCAACCCAUUACGAUUUCAUCUCUGCCCCAACCA
This 443-nucleotide long non-coding RNA is filed under the name Pan troglodytes (chimpanzee). RNAcentral describes it as "lincRNA". The stretch from base 189 to 325 matches the Rfam family "Pvt1 oncogene conserved region 7". Lineage: Eukaryota; Metazoa; Chordata; Mammalia; Primates; Hominidae. The record is from RNAcentral.